Molecule: ribosomal RNA, 301 nt
Filed under: uncultured bacterium
Lineage: Bacteria
Description: partial 16S ribosomal RNA
Rfam family: Bacterial small subunit ribosomal RNA
Source: RNAcentral
CAGUAGCCGCGGUAAUACGUAGGUCCCGAGCGUUGUCCGGAUUUAUUGGGCGUAAAGCGAACGCAGGCGGUUAGAUAAGUCUGAAGUCAAAGGCUGUGGCUUAACCAUAGUACGCUUUGGAAACUGUUUAACUUGAGUGCAAGAGGGGAGAGUGGAAUUCCAUGUGUAGCGGUGAAAUGCGUAGAUAUAUGGAGGAACACCGGUGGCGAAAGCGGCUCUCUGGCUUGUAACUGACGCUGAGGCUCGAAAGCGUGGGGCGCAAACAGGAUUAGAUACCCCUGUAGUCUCUGUCUCUUAUACA